CCUACGGGGGGCUGCAGUGAGGAAUAUUGGUCAAUGGGCGCUAGCCUGAACCAGCCAAGUAGCGUGAAGGAUGACUGCCCUACGGGUUGUAAACUUCUUUUAUAUGGGAAUAAAGUGCAGUAUGUAUACUGCUUUGCAUGUACCUUAUGAAUAAGGAUCGGCUAACUCCGUGCCAGCAGCCGCGGUAAUACGGAGGAUUCGAGCGUUAUCCGGAUUUAUUGGGUUUAAAGGGAGCGUAGGUGGGUUGUUAAGUCAGUUGUGAAAGUUUGCGGCUCAACCGUAAAAUUGCAGUUGAUACUGGCAGCCUUGAGUACAGUAGAGGUAGGCGGAAUUCGUGGUGUAGCGGUGAAAUGCUUAGAUAUCACGAAGAACUCCGAUUGCGAAGGCAGCCUGCUAGACUGUAACUGACGCUGAUGCUCGAAAGUGUGGGUAUCAAACAGGAUUAGAUACCCCUGUAGUC
Molecule: ribosomal RNA, 460 nt
Filed under: uncultured bacterium
Lineage: Bacteria
Description: partial 16S ribosomal RNA
Rfam family: Bacterial small subunit ribosomal RNA
Source: RNAcentral